CCUACGGGGGGCAGCAGUGGGGAAUAUUGGACAAUGGGGGCAACCCUGAUCCAGCCAUGCCGCGUGUGUGAAGAAGGCCCUCGGGUUGUAAAGCACUUUCAGUGAGGAAGAACGCCUGGUGGUUAAUACCCAUCAGGAAAGACAUCACUCACAGAAGAAGCACCGGCUAACUCCGUGCCAGCAGCCGCGGUAAUACGGAGGGUGCGAGCGUUAAUCGGAAUUACUGGGCGUAAAGCGCGCGUAGGUGGCUUGAUAAGCCGGUUGUGAAAGCCCCGGGCUCAACCUGGGAACGGCAUCCGGAACUGUCAAGCUAGAGUGCAGGAGAGGAAGGUAGAAUUCCCGGUGUAGCGGUGAAAUGCGUAGAGAUCGGGAGGAAUACCAGUGGCGAAGGCGGCAUUCUGGACUGACACUGACACUGAGGUGCGAAAGCGUGGGUAGCAAACAGGAUUAGAUACCCCAGUAGUA
Molecule: ribosomal RNA, 465 nt
Filed under: Vreelandella stevensii
Lineage: Bacteria; Pseudomonadati; Pseudomonadota; Gammaproteobacteria; Oceanospirillales; Halomonadaceae
Description: partial 16S ribosomal RNA
Rfam family: Bacterial small subunit ribosomal RNA
Source: RNAcentral